AAAACAAAGGAGGGGAAAUAAAUGAAGUUGUUAAUUAAAAAGGAAGCAGGACUUGGUGGAAACACAGCGGAAUGUCCCGGAAUAGAAGCUGUGACUGAGAGCCGCAUGCGGAGUCUGUUCUCUCCCGGGAGAGGCGCCGACGGCAGCGGAGCUGGAGUUUCCAUCCAUAAACACUUCACCUCACAACAGAAAACAACAACAAGCCUGCGUCUUCCGAGCGUCUGUUUCCCGAAUCGCUUGGCAAGGGGAUCCCCAGAGGGACCUCAAAAAUCAUCCUUUUCAAAACAAAGCUGUGUGGCAGAGCACAAGUGGGACCGGGACUCAGACCUGCGCCCUUGGUGGAUUCCAUUUCCCGGUCUCCGUGAUGGAUGGAGACAGGCAGGUGACGGAUGUCAGGGAUGA
RNAcentral lists this long non-coding RNA (402 nucleotides) under Oryctolagus cuniculus (rabbit). RNAcentral describes it as "lncRNA (ENSOCUG00000036134.1)". Lineage: Eukaryota; Metazoa; Chordata; Mammalia; Lagomorpha; Leporidae. The record is from RNAcentral.